Long non-coding RNA from Anopheles merus, 791 nucleotides. RefSeq lists it as uncharacterized. NCBI's taxonomy places the organism in Eukaryota, Metazoa, Arthropoda, Insecta, Diptera, Culicidae. The record is from RefSeq and is a predicted model, not a curated record. The transcript is spliced from 2 exons.
AUUAUUUUGUUUGAUGUUGUUUUUAAUAAUAAUUCUUAAUCAACCCUUUAAAGCAUCGCUCUAGCUAUAGGUAGAAUAAGCUAGCUAAUAGGUAGGAAAAUAAGAUAAAAAAUGGUCGUAUCGUAUGUACAAUAUAUUUUAACAAUCGAGUCGGCUUGUUUUCUUUGAACUAUUCUUUCCAGGGGCGGAAUAAGCACUACGCAAAUUAAGCGUCCGCGUGGGGCCCCGAGGACUCGGGGGGUUCCGUAAAAAAGAACCAAUCCCCCGCUGACAAAAAGGCCUAAAUUCGUGUGACCGCUUAGGGCCUUCACUCGUGUUAAUCCGCCACUGAUUCUACUGGGAAUGCUAAUUAUAAUAUCUUUAAAGAUAAUUCUUAACAUUCUAUCAAAUAAGGUUAUUGUAAAAAAAUCAAAUCAAUUUCAUGUGUAGACUGUUUAAGAGGAAGACAUAUACCAUUUUUCAAAAUCGUAAUAAGUUUAGUUUGGUAAAUGGUAAGUUCUCAUAGUAAACUCAUAGUAAAUAGCAAACAAUACAGACAACUGUUUUUAGAGAAAUUAUGCUCGAAUCGUACAACACGUACGGUUUUAUAACAUGCCCCUCAUCGGUUCAAGCCUAGAAUGGAUCGACUUCCACAUCCCGUAGCAAGGACUAACUGAUUAUCUGGCUGCAUGGUACUAAUAAGUCUCGAAAGCCUGUAUAGGACGGGAUGACUACGUAGGUCGUUACGCCAAAUAGAAGAAAGUUCGGCAUGAUACAGUAUACGAUAAAUAAAAUUUAUUUUCCUCUGUGAA